CGUAGUUAAAACAGUCGAUAUUAUCAUUUCUCCUAUAUUACUGCCAGUCUCUUGUGGCUCCUUUGCCAAUACGAAAAUUUACUCACGCUUGAAAGUUUUUAUUAUUACCUUGUCGAUAUUGUUGUUAAUAUUACCUUGUUGAUAUUGUUAAUGGACGUUUAAAUGGAAAAUUGAAAAAUUUUUAAAAAGCAUAUACUUCCACAUCAUAUAAUUCAAAAUCAUAUAAUUCCACAUGAUUCCAGAUACAUUUUAUAAUAAAUUAAAAGAUUGUCAGUGCACGGCAGGCACUGGGAAAGAAGCUGAGCGCCACCGGCAGUCAGAGGUCAGAAUGGUAUGGAAAAGUUAGUGGAGCUGUUAGAGGAAAAUAUAGUAACUAAAUCACAGUCAGAAUGGUAUGGAAAAGUUAAUGGAACUGUCCUCACUCCUCAAUGACUUUGAUAACUUAUUAUUUGCUAAGAAUUCUGUCAGCCUAGAAUGUGUUAUUGAAGAUGUUACAUUAAAUGAAUCAUUAAAUAGAGAGAUUGAAACAUUUCUAAGACAAUUAACUUCAUAUUUUUUAUUACAUGCUUCACACAAAGCAUUGGAAUAGCUCAUAUACAAUAUCUCAUUUGUAUUGCUGCUUUUACCACUUCAUGAAUCUCAUAUAUUUUUCAGCACAGAUUUGAUGAUAAAUUCUUGAAGAUGCUAUGCAACCAUAUAACUACUGUGAAGAUCCAUACCAAGCAUUUCAGCUAAUUACUUUGUAUAUUUUUUAUAUUAUAUAGAAGUUAUAUCAUAUUGAGUUACAAUUGAAUAGACAACAGAGAGCCAAGUCAGCUAACUGAUUGUAUUUUGCUUAGCUUCCUUUGUCAGUAUCUCAUUUCUGAUUGAUGGUUGAAGAUCAAGUAUGUGAAACUUUACGUCAGAAGAACCACAUAAAAUGGUUUGAUGAAAAUCACAAGGAAACUUGGAGAUUUCCUGUCAUUUCUACCGGGAACGAUGUCUUUCUCGGAAAUAUUAGAAGACGAAGACGCAACGAUGGGAAGUUGUUUACGUCUUAGAGGAGAUUUUAGGUGAACCUUUACAGAAAUAUUCCUAAAUAUAUUUGAAUGUGUUAGUUUGAACUACAAAGUAAUUGUAAAUAUUUUUAUUAAGAACAUGCGUGGAAACAUCUUUUUUAAACAGAGAGAAUUCUUUUUUCAAAGUUAUUCUAUAUAUUUCCAAUAUAAACAGAUGUGUAAAAAUGUAUUGGAUAACUACUAACAGCGAAUAAACAUAUAAGUAAACAUUGUAAAUGAAAUCAGAAAAGAAUAUAAGUGAAUCAAAUGUCAAA
RNAcentral lists this long non-coding RNA (1312 nucleotides) under Harpegnathos saltator (Jerdon's jumping ant). Its description in RNAcentral is "uncharacterized LOC112588987, transcript variant X2". The record is from RNAcentral. Lineage: Eukaryota; Metazoa; Arthropoda; Insecta; Hymenoptera; Formicidae.